UACGGGAGGUGCAAGCGUUGUUCGGAAUGACUGGGCGUAAAGCGCACGUAGGUGGGCUUGUAAGUCGGACGUGAAAGCCCUGGGCUUAACCCGGGAACUGCGUCCGAAACUGCGAGUCUUGAAUGCCCAAGAGGUUGGUAGAAUUCCUGGUGUAGGAGUGAAAUCCGUAGAUAUCAGGAGGAAUACCAGAGGCGAAGGCGGCCAACUGGUGGUGCAUUGACACUGAGGUGCGAAAGCGUGGGGAGCAAACAGG
Molecule: ribosomal RNA, 253 nt
Filed under: uncultured bacterium
Lineage: Bacteria
Description: partial 16S ribosomal RNA
Rfam family: Bacterial small subunit ribosomal RNA
Source: RNAcentral